AAUAGACUGCCACCGGGUAGUAGUUAAAUGUGAAAGCAUUUGUUUGCACAUCGUUAGGUCUUAGAAGAUGUGUUUGCAGAUGCUUGUUUUUU
This 92-nucleotide non-coding RNA is filed under the name unclassified sequences. The record is from RNAcentral.